This 834-nucleotide long non-coding RNA is filed under the name Cyanistes caeruleus (blue tit). RNAcentral describes it as "lncRNA (ENSCCEG00000018731.1)". Lineage: Eukaryota; Metazoa; Chordata; Aves; Passeriformes; Paridae. The record is from RNAcentral.
UAUAGAUUGAGAGAAAUGACUUUCAAAAUUAACAUUCCAGCAGACCCCAGCAUAAUAGAUACAUUCAUUCCUGGUGUAUCUGCAUGGAAAUCAAAGGAGAUACAUCAUGUUUGAAUCCGGGUUUUUAUUUUUAGAACACGCAGCACAUUUGCGGCGCGCGGCUCCGAGCACGGAGGGAGAGAGGGGACAGCCCCACACCCAGCCAGGGAACCACCCUGGGGCUGGGGGUCUCUGCAAACCCAGGGCCAGCAAAAGAGGAUGGGUUUGGGAAGGUGUUUGGGUGCCUGGAAACUGAGGCCAGCUUUGAUUUUUUUGUUAAAGAAAGCCUCUCGUAGGCAAUGUUUGGAAGAUGAAGGAACAUGCUUUGGAGGAAAAUCAAGUCAGGAAGAGCCCAAAUCGUUCCCAGCAGGUAGAGUGAUCUCUGCAGAGAUGUUCCAGAGUUUUCCAACUGGACUGAGGCAUGCUGGGCAUUGAAAAAUAUGAUUUCUUCCACCUGAGCUAUUGAACAGACGUGAUAAAAACACCAACUGCAGCACAAUGUCCUUUAUGUUGCCUCGAAGGAAUGUGCCAUUAAAAUGAUGUUAGAAAUAUUCUUCAAAAGCAGCUAAAAAAUCUGCACUUGGGGCUGCAAUGCCAUCCACAAGUUUUCCAUUGCUCCUGUCUCCUGAUGUUCAAUUCAUCCUGCAAAGCAAAUCCUGGCUGGUGUAUGUCCUCAUUAGGAUGCAGGAUGAAGAGAAAUGCAUCAAAAUGCAUAAACACACCUUAGAAAUGCCUCUGAAAGUGUCUGGAAAUCACUUUGUCCUGCAGCACUGGCAAGUGUCCACCAUCUCCUUG